Molecule: ribosomal RNA, 734 nt
Filed under: uncultured bacterium
Lineage: Bacteria
Description: bacterial SSU rRNA
Rfam family: Bacterial small subunit ribosomal RNA
Source: RNAcentral
AGUUUGAUCCUGGCUCAAAAUCAACGCUGGCGGCGUGCCUCAGGCAUGCAAGUCAAACGCGAAAGGUCCCUUCGGGGGCCGAGUAGAGUGGCGUCCGGGUGAAUAACACGUAAGUAAUCUACCUCUGGGUGGGGAAUAACAGCCGGAAACGGCUGCUAAUACCGCAUAAUGCAGCGGCACCACAUGGUGACUUUUGUUAAAGCGGGGGAACAGCUUUGUCCUCCCGCCUGGAGAGGAGCCUGCGGCGGAUUAUCUAGUUGGCGGGGUAACGGCCCACCAAGGCAACGAUCCGUAGCCGGCCUGAGAGGGCGGUCGGCCACACUGGCACUGACACACGGGCCACACUCCUACGGGAGGCAGCAGUCGGUAUUUUUGGGCAAUGGGCGAAAGCCUGACCCACCACCGCCGCGUGAAGGAUGAAUCUUCUCGGAGUGUAAACUUCAUAAGAAUGGGACGAAUAGGGAGGGGUUAAUACCCCCUUUGAUGACGGUACUAUUUGUAAGCUCCGGCUAACUCCGUGCCAGCAGCCGCGGUAAUACGGGGGGAGCAAUCGUUGUUCUUAUUUACUGGGCGUAAAGGGCGCGUAGGCGGCGCAACAAGUCAGCUGUGAAAUCUCCGGGCUUAACCCGGAGCGGCCAUCUGAUACUGUCGUGCUAGAGUGCGGAAGGGGCUACUGUAAUUCUCGGUGUAGCGGUGAAAUGCAUAUAUAUCGAGAGGACCAUCUGUGGCGAAGG